GGGGAAUAUUGGACAAUGGGCGCAAGCCUGAUCCAGCCAUGCCGCGUGAGUGAUGAAGGCCUUAGGGUUGUAAAGCUCUUUCAGCGGGGAAGAUAAUGACGGUACCCGCAGAAGAAGCCCCGGCUAACUUCGUGCCAGCAGCCGCGGUAAUACGAAGGGGGCUAGCGUUGUUCGGAAUCACUGGGCGUAAAGCGCACGUAGGCGGAUCGAUAAGUCAGGGGUGAAAGCCCGAGGCUCAACCUCGGAAUUGCCUUUGAUACUGUCGAUCUUGAGUCCGGGAGAGGUGGGUGGAACUCCGAGUGUAGAGGUGAAAUUCGUAGAUAUUCGGAAGAACACCAGUGGCGAAGGCGGCUCACUGGCCCGGUACUGACGCUGAGGUGCGAAAGCGUGGGGAGCAAAC
This 400-nucleotide ribosomal RNA is filed under the name uncultured bacterium. RNAcentral's name for it is "bacterial SSU rRNA". It matches the Rfam family "Bacterial small subunit ribosomal RNA", at positions 356 to 773 of the family's 1533-position model. The record is from RNAcentral.